RNAcentral lists this ribosomal RNA (575 nucleotides) under uncultured archaeon. RNAcentral's name for it is "bacterial SSU rRNA". It matches the Rfam family "Archaeal small subunit ribosomal RNA", at positions 323 to 899 of the family's 1478-position model. The record is from RNAcentral.
CUACGGGGCGCAGCAGGCGCGAAACCUCCGCAAUGCGGAAAAAAUAAUUCGGGGGGACCCCGAAGUGCCUGGCACCGCCACAGCUUUUCCGGAGUGUAAAAAGCUCCGGGAAUAAGGGCUGGCAAGGCCGGUGGCAGCCGCCGCGGUAAUACCGGCGGCCCGAGUGGUGGCCGCUAUUAUUGGGCCUAAAGCGUCCGUAGCCGGGCCCGUAAGUCCCUGGCGAAAUCCCACGGCUCAACCGUGGGGCUUGCUGGGGAUACUGCGGGCCUUGGGACCGGGAGAGGCGGGGGGUACCCCUGGGGUAGGGGUGAAAUCCUAUAAUCCCAGGGGGACCGCCAGUGGCGAAGGCGCCCCGCUGGAACGGGUCCGACGGUGAGGGACGAAGGCCAGGGGAGCAAACCGGAUUAGAUACCCGGGUAGUCCUGGCUGUAAAGGAUGCGGGCUAGGUGUCGGGUGAGCUUCGAGCUCGCCCGGUGCCGUAGGGAAGCCGUUAAGCCCGCCGCCUGGGGAGUACGGCCGCAAGGCUGAAACUUAAAGGAAUUGGCGGGGGAGCACUACAAGGGGUGGAGCGUGCG